Molecule: transfer RNA, 67 nt
Filed under: Cucumis melo subsp. melo
Lineage: Eukaryota; Viridiplantae; Streptophyta; Magnoliopsida; Cucurbitales; Cucurbitaceae
Description: tRNA-Trp
Source: RNAcentral
GAGCUCUUAUCGGUAGAACGUGGGUCUCCAAAACCCGAUGUCCUCAGUUCAAAUCCUACAGAGCUCC